Molecule: ribosomal RNA, 408 nt
Filed under: Triticum aestivum (bread wheat)
Lineage: Eukaryota; Viridiplantae; Streptophyta; Magnoliopsida; Poales; Poaceae
Description: partial small subunit ribosomal RNA
Source: RNAcentral
AUGGGUCGGCGAAAAAUUAGGAGGGAUAGGAUCGAUGCCCACAACAGAUUGAUGAGGCACUAUUUUGUGGAUAAUCCCAUGUACCCCGGGUCGUACUUCCGGCGCCAGUUUAGGAUGAGCACCGAGUUGUUCAGGCGCAUUGCAGAGAAACUACCGAGCCAUGAUAGGUUUUUUCAGCAAAGGAGGAAUGCCGCCGGAGAGCUCGGGCAUAGCACCUUUCAAAAGGUGAAAGCCGCUUUGCGUAUGUUGGCAUACUGUACUCCGGCUGAUCUAGUUGAUGACCACUUGGCCAUGGGUGAGAGUCAAGCCAUCAUGUGUGUCAAGGGCUUCGCAGUCAGAAUUGUGCAAGUGUUUGGCCCGGAGUAUUUGAUAUCUCCCAAUGCGGAAGACGCCGCAAGGCUUUUGUAG